This is a non-coding RNA of Pelobates cultripes (western spadefoot toad), 345 nucleotides long. NCBI's taxonomy places the organism in Eukaryota, Metazoa, Chordata, Amphibia, Anura, Pelobatidae. The record is from the annotation of a GenBank genome assembly.
CUUCAUAGUAGGCACCUUGGGACCUCACAUAAUUCUCCCAGCAUUUCUUCCACUGUUCAAAUCACUCUGCAAAAUCCUUUUUUGGAAUCACCAUCAGCUGCCUUGUAUUUACUUGUAUCCCGUUGACGGUCUGAAAUAUCCUCCCUUUCAAAGGUGAUUUUAGUUUUGGGGGAAGCCAGCUAAAUCUUUCAACAGAUUCUCAACCAUCUUUGAAGCGUAUGUUCCAUUCUUAUUUGUGCUGCACUCAUUACAUUGUCUCAGACAGCCUUCUGAAUCAUCCAAAUAGUUUCUGGAAGAACGUUCAAGCUCAACGCAAAGUUUGAUGCAGAUUUGUUGCUCUACUCG